CGCGCAGGCGGCCAGGUCAGUCGAAUGUGAAAGCCCCCCGGCUCAACUGGGGAGGGUCAUUCGAUACUGCCUGGCUUGAAGAUAGGAGAGGGAAGCGGAAUUUCAUGUGUAGUGGUGAAAUGCGUAGAUAUCUGAAGGAACACCAGUGGCGAAGGCGGCUUUCUGGCCUAUUCUUGACGCUGAGGCGCGAAAGCUAGGGGAGCGAACG
This 208-nucleotide ribosomal RNA is filed under the name uncultured bacterium. RNAcentral's name for it is "partial 16S ribosomal RNA". It matches the Rfam family "Bacterial small subunit ribosomal RNA", at positions 568 to 774 of the family's 1533-position model. The record is from RNAcentral.